Molecule: long non-coding RNA, 924 nt
Organism: Bos taurus (domestic cattle)
Lineage: Eukaryota; Metazoa; Chordata; Mammalia; Artiodactyla; Bovidae
Source: Ensembl
CUGGAACUGAAGCCCAGCUUUCCUCUAAACCCAAGGCUCUUUCCAUUCCGUCUCAGUCACCUCACUCUUAACAGAUCUUACUCUCAGAGACUCCACUUGAGGGUGCCUCAGCUAACCACAGUCCUCUUACCUGCGUUCUUAGUGUUAUAGCACUUUUAUUUUCAUUCAUUAUGCUUCUUUUGAUAAUUUAACCUCAUCGAAAUUAAAGAAACAUGAUCCUCAAAUACAAAGAAUUUCCACUGAAGAGCAAUACAAUAUCCAAAUUAUGCAGUCUGUCAUAUGACAUCAUCAUUCAUUCAUGAUUUUCAACUAGACAGUUAUUGAGCAUCUGCUAUACGCCAGGAACAGUAGUCAAGCAUGCUCCAUCACCAGACAGAUCAGAAGAGGAUCAGAGAAAUAGAAAAAUAAGAACAUAGAGUGGCCCCAAAAACCUGAACCAAAGAAGGUAGAGAAAAGUCUUCCUCGCCAACAGUUCCAAGUAGAGGAAUAGCCCUUGCAAAAGUGUGAGGGUGUGAGGGAGCGGCACGACACCUCCAAAGCACAAUGAGAGAUGGAGUGCGGCUGAAGCAAGGGAGAGUGUGGGUGUGGCAAGAAAUGAAGCCGUGUUGCUGUGACGGUCAAUCAUGAAGGCGCUGAGGACUGUCACAAAUGUACCUUAAUCAAAUAAUAGGUAGGAUAUUAUAUUGAUUGCAUAAAGAAAAAUAUGAGUACAGGACAAAGUGAUGCUGCAAUAAAGUGAAUGGUGUAUUUUGUGGCUUCGAGGAACCAGGUUAAGAAGCAACAGUUAGAACUGGACAUGGAACAACGGACUGGUUCCAAAUCAGGAAAGGAGUACAUCAAGGCUGUAAAUUGUCACCCUGCUUAUUUAACUUACAUACAGAGUACAUCAUGCGAAAUGCCAGGCUGGAUGAAGCACAAGCUGUG